UGAUAGCUAUGAAGCGUGAGGUUGCUGCCGAAGCUGACGUAAGCAGUGUAUGGCAGGUUUUCCGUGGAGCGAAUGUCAAGUUAGGAUAA
Molecule: non-coding RNA, 89 nt
Filed under: bovine gut metagenome
Description: S10-Clostridia ribosomal protein leader
Rfam family: S10-Clostridia ribosomal protein leader
Source: RNAcentral